RNAcentral lists this ribosomal RNA (793 nucleotides) under Methanosaeta sp. enrichment culture clone A5_64. RNAcentral's name for it is "bacterial SSU rRNA". It matches the Rfam family "Archaeal small subunit ribosomal RNA", at positions 85 to 879 of the family's 1478-position model. Lineage: Archaea; Methanobacteriati; Methanobacteriota; Methanomicrobia; Methanotrichales; Methanotrichaceae. The record is from RNAcentral.
ACUGCUCAGUAACACGUGGACAACCUGCCCUUAGGUUGGGUAUAAACCCGGGAAACUGGGUAUAAUACCCGAUAGGUCUCGAUUGCUGGAAUGCAUCGAGAUUUAAAGCUCCGGCGCCUAAGGAUGGGUCUGCGGCCUAUCAGGUAGUAGUGGGUGUAGCGUACCUACUAGCCUACGACGGGUACGGGUUGUGAGAGCAAGAGCCCGGAGAUGGAUUCUGAGACACGAAUCCAGGCCCUACGGGGUGCAGCAGGCGCGAAAACUUUACAAUGCUGGCAACAGCGAUAAGGGAACCUCGAGUGCCAGGUUACAAAUCUGGCUGUCGAGAUGCCUAAAAAGCAUUUCAUAGCAAGGGCCGGGCAAGACCGGUGCCAGCCGCCGCGGUAACACCGGCGGCUCGAGUGGUAACCGUUAUUAUUGGGUCUAAAGGGUCUGUAGCCGGCCGGAUAAGUCUCUUGAGAAAUCUGGCAGCUUAACUGUCAGGCUUUCAGGAGAUACUGUCUGGCUCGAGGCCGGGAGAGGUGAGAGGUACUUCAGGGGUAGGGGUGAAAUCUUGUAAUCCUUGAAGGACCACCAGUGGCGAAGGCGUCUCACCAGAACGGACCUGACGGCAAGGGACGAAAGCUAGGGGCACGAACCGGAUUAGAUACCCAGGUAGUCCUAGCCGUAAACGAUACUCGCUAGGUGUCGGCCACGGUGCGACCGUUGUCGGUGCCGUAGGGAAGCCGUGAAGCGAGCCACCUGGGAAGUACGGUCGCAAGGCUGAAACUUAAAGGAAUUGGCGGGGGAGCAC